Molecule: transfer RNA, 63 nt
Filed under: Chrysomelidae sp. SPH01
Lineage: Eukaryota; Metazoa; Arthropoda; Insecta; Coleoptera; Chrysomelidae
Description: tRNA-Pro
Source: RNAcentral
CAAGAAUUAGUUUAGAAAAAAUAUUAAUUUUGGAGAUUAAAGAAGAGUUAUUCUUAUUCUUGA